Diorhabda sublineata is the source of this 1926-nucleotide long non-coding RNA. RefSeq lists it as uncharacterized. The transcript has 2 exons. Lineage: Eukaryota; Metazoa; Arthropoda; Insecta; Coleoptera; Chrysomelidae. The record is from RefSeq and is a predicted model, not a curated record.
GUAUCAGGAUAACACAAAAAGAAGAAUUAUUAAAAAUAUCUCUAAAAGUUUUGUUAUUGUGAACUUCAAAUCAUAUUAAAUAAUUUAAAAUAAUACCGUAAGAAUAUGAAAAAGUUUAACAGUAAUACUUAUGUGUAUAUAAAGCUAAGCUAUGGAUUGACUUGCAGUGACUACAUCCUUUAGUGCUUGUAAACAUUAUUCCACGGCGUUAAUGCUUUACCUUAACAAGCAAAUACUGGAAAAAAUUGAAAUCCAAAUGAAUAUUAAAUUUAUAUGAAUCUCCUCCAACAUAGGAAUUCAGGAUAACGAAAAAAGUACGAUUACAGUAAACGCGAUAUUCGCCAGUGAUUUGAAACUUUUCGUGAAAAAGAUAGUGAUAAGUGCCUAGUAAAAUCCUCGAAAUAGAAAUUACACAAAGCUUAACCUAGUGAAAAAUCCUGGAAAAUAAUACCAAGCAGGCGGUUCAACCAACUACUGCUGACAAAACUAAAGACAGUUAUUGGACAAAACUGAAUUACCCGUGUUUUUACAUAGAUAUACCAGUAAGUAAUAGUGAAGCAUAUAUUUUUAUUGAUUGUCCCAAGUAUUAAUUCACAAAGUAUAUUGGAAGCUGCACUAAUUUAGAAUUGCAAUUUAGAUAUGGUCGUAGAAAUAAAUUUAUGUAAAAAUUAUAAAAUAAGUCUUUCUUCCCUGAUGGUCAAUUUGUUGAGCCGAUAGUAAAAAUUAAAGAAGAAAGUAAUUAUUUAUGAGUCUGAACGAUUUGAAAAAACCAUGUAUUAAUAUAGUCACAUCUUCACUACACAUUGAUGAUCUGAAAAUGUUUGUGUAACAAAUAAAAUGAAGUUGAAAUAUCUAAUUUUCUAUUAGUAGAAAGUAUCAUAUUUGUAUAUUUCACACUGGUCAAUGAUUAAUAUAUAAUUUAGGAAAUACUUUUUAGAUAUUUGAGGUAAUUCUUUCUCUUUAGAACUCUUCAUAUCCUUUCGUUGGGAUGUUAGUUUUCAUUCUUUUAUCAAUUUUAUUCACUCUUUCCAUUCCUUUGCUAUUUCAUUCAUCUGCUGUACUGUUUUCCCUUGUCAUCAUGUGCUACUUGUCCUAAUUAAAUUUUUCUGGAUUUUCUUUUACUUUUAUGUUGUAUCACUUUUUCUUAUUAGGCUUUGUGGUUUUCCUCUCUUUAGACAUCUUUCAACAAUAAUGUAAUUAAAAAAUAAAUGUUCCAAACAUUUUCAAUCUUAAAACAAAGUGUAAAACAUUAGAGACAUCCAAUGAAUUCUAGAUAAAGAAGAAAUAAAAUAUUGAAGAUGAUUUAUUCGGAUUAAUGAAAUACAUAUCAUACAAGGGUUUAUUAUCUAUUAAUUUCAAAAUUUUUAAGGCCUAAUUUCUUAUCCUUAUCUCUUCUUAUCAUAUACUUAUAUAGAAAUUACCCUUUUCUAUUAUAAAUGAAUAUUCUCCAGUUUCAAAAUCUCUGAUUAUGGGUGAAUAAAAUUUAACAUGUUGUCUUAAAAUUGUUUAUUACCAUUAUUUUAUUACAAUAAAAAAUUAUAUACAAAAAUUUCUGGUUAUUUAUUAAUUUACAAACGAGGCACCAGUAAAUUUCAUUGAAAUCUUAUGGGUCCUUUGUUCAUCUGCUGGUUUAUUUAUUUUCAGAUGUAAAUUUUGUUAUAUUGGUUAAAAAUGUUUUUAAUUUCUUUGUUUAUAUUGAUUCCUAUUAUAGCUUGAGUUUUUUACAGUAAAGUUCAACAUUCGCGAAUUUUUUCUAGCGAUUUUAAAAUAAUAUGUAUUAUAUAAUGAACUCCACUUCCUUAUUCAAUUAUACACUGUGUAUCAUACAAUUAUGAAUGAAUAAUAUAAUAUAAUGUUAACCGAAGAUUUCUUUGUACAGUUUAUAUUUAUUUAAUAAAAAUAAACAGAAAUAAAUAAAAUGUGAAA